RNAcentral lists this unclassified non-coding RNA (1873 nucleotides) under Leishmania donovani. Its description in RNAcentral is "gene:unknown". The record is from RNAcentral. Lineage: Eukaryota; Euglenozoa; Kinetoplastea; Trypanosomatida; Trypanosomatidae.
ACACCAGCGUCGACACCGCUCAUCAAUCCACGUAGCAAAGCCCCCAUGUCCGAGGAGAGCCACCAUAGCAAGGACGUCCACGGCAAUGCAAUCACGCCAUUUCGCACGGAACGCACAGAGCGCGACGAGAAGGGCACCUUCCUGGGGUGAUAGUAGUCCACCUCUAGCAGCGUUCCUGCCCCGCCGCCGCCGCGCGACGUUUCGGUCGGCCUGGUUCCUUUCUGUCUCAUUUCCUUUGUACGUCUCGUCCUCAUGGCUGUGUCGGUCGGCACUCCGUGGCACCGCAAGCAGCACUACAGCCCGAAUGGGCUGCACGGUGAAGGCCACCUCUUCUACCUCUUCGAGCAUGUGACGAAGGUCGAGGGGUCUCUGGGUGUGGUCACGCACCCGAGGAGUCUGUGCACGUAUGUGCAGCGUCGUGCGCGGGUGAUGGAGGCCUUUUCCAUUGUGUCGUCCGCCAUGACACGCUGAUGUUUGCGCUCAGCGUGCUGAAUGCCUACUAGCGGUCCGUGGCGCGGAAUAUGGUGAUCCGCAAUGUCACGCUCGUCUUCACCGCCCGCUCGAUGGGUAGCCUCAGGAUCGAGGUCUGCUUCAACUUGAACGUAUACCUCUGCAGCCUCGCGGAGUGCGGGGGCGGCGCAAGCUACCGCUCCCAGCUCCACAAGCCGUACGCGGGCUUUUGCCUCACCGUGGGCGGCCUGGCUGUUGACGGCGCUGGACAGCGGCAUCAUCGCCGCGAGCAAGUUCACUGUCCCGCUCGAUGCGCAGACGGUGGACAAGAGCAUCCACUCCUUCAUGCUACCCCAUAUCGCACUGGUGCUACAAGGAUGGAACGUGGCAGCUCGUGGCGGUCACACUUCUCUCUUUGUGAUGAGCUUCCAGCCCUCGUUGCUGGUGCAGUACCUCCGCGCCGACGAGGCUUUUGGCAUCUCCCCCAUCCUGCUCAAGAUGCUGACGGGCGGCUUCAGCCUUGUGGCGUCGUCCUUCGGCACUAUGGUGUCGUGCUUCGCCAUCACAGCGGCGUCCCCACCUGACGAAGAAGUAGCUCCCUUCAAUGAUUCCACGCAAGAUGGCCAAGCAGAUCGCUGUGGAGGAAUAUCAGCGAGGGUGUGAGCGGAAGUGGGAUGCAGAGGAGAAGGUACAGUACGCGGAGAAGAGUGCGGAGGACAAGCAGGGUGAGGGAUAAUGUGAUGGCGGCUUCCGAGGUACUACCGCGCGCUGCUAUCCCCUUCUCCUCAGCCUGUGGUUUGUGCGCACUGCUCUAAUAGCCUGCGCCCCGUCGGACACACGAGGAGGAGGAAAAAAAAGACGCAGAAGACGCUGGUACUCCUCUGCCAGCGUGUGUGUCUAGUGUUCUCCCCUCUCUUCUCCCUCCUCUGAUUGUCAAGCAUCGAAACGAGAGCAAAACCGCCGCAUCUGCGCCGCGCGUACCGUUUGCUGUUUUUUUGUUGUUCUCGUUGCUGCCUUGUGAUGUACGCCUCACCGUGUCGCCAUCGUCGUCGUCGUCUCUCUGGUUUGUUUCGCUAAAAGUGCGUGCUCCUUCCGUUUCCAUUUUUUUUUGGAGGGGGAAGGAGGAGGGCCGAAGGUGCACCACAGCAUGACGCUGCCGCCAGUGUGCGUGCUGUGCGGUGCGGUGCAAGCGAGGAGGCAAGACGUAGGGCCUGAAACGCUCUCGGGCGUGUGUAGUGCUAAGCAUCAACUGCCAGUGCGGUGGAGAGAGUUCGAUCGCUGCUGAUCUGUGUGUAGAUGUGGGUUUGGGUGUGGAUGAGCAGCACAGACACAGCACACGUCUUUCCAAUCUUUUUCAUCUCGACGCUUCACUGUCGUGUGGGUGUUCGUCUGUGAUUAGCUUGUUGUCCUCUGUGUGAGUCUC